CACCCUUUAUACAACUGGGUUUUGUUUUGUUUAUUUAUUUAUUUUAUUAUUAUUCCCCUUUUGUGUUAUAAAAUCAUGAAUAUACAUGACGGACAUGUCUUCAGAUGCAUUGACGGGAAGCGAGGUUACUCGCCCAAAAACCAAUAGCUACAAAUCUUAAGGGAUGUUGAUUUUUUUUCCCAUCACAAAAUGUCGAUGCAUUCAAAUUUAAUAGUUUUUUUGGAAGUAUAUGUUUGGAGUAAUGCUAGGAAGAUCAAAUUUUUAAAUAAAAAUUUGUAAGUCAAAUGAUAUGAAUUUUGAUGAUUGAAUUAUUUCUUUUAAGUAUUAAUAAACGUGAUUAUUUUUUAUCGUAUCAAAUUGUAACAAUGAUCCUCAACUUUAACUCAAUUGGAGGAAUGGUCCCUCAACCAAAAAUUCAUGACCAAUGAUCCCUUAACUCCUCAAAACGUGCAGUUAUGAUCCUUUUCGUCAACUGCGUUAGAAUUUUUGUUAAAACGGAUAUGUAGACAUGUAAAUUUUGUUGCAUACAAAUGAUGCAUUACAACGCUCUACGUGGCAUAUGACUCUGAAGGAAAUAUUCUGAAAAACAUGUUCAUUUGAGCAACAUCUAUAGCAUGCAAUUAACAAUUAAAAGGCGGAAUCAUGCUUGCAUGCACUCAAAAACAAUACAUUAACCAUGAAAUUCAAAGCCUAGUAGAUUGGUGAACCUUGACUCAACUUAAAACAACAUUUGUUAGUUGAGAAAUUAUACCUUUGUAGAUUCCUCUUUGCAUAAGCAAAGGCUAAUCACCCAAAGAGAGGGCCUUCAUUCCUUGCAUCUUAGAUCUAUGGAUUUGGAUGGAUGAAAUGGUUCUCCAAGUUCCCAAAAUUGAGAACCUCUAAGUCUCUUCACCAAGGUUAGAUUGAAGAAGAAAUGAGUGACCUUGGAGUAGUAGGAUUGCUAGCUAAACCCUCCAAGGAGGCCGGCCACUUUAGAGAGAAAUGAGAGCUUUUGUUCUCAUCCUUUCCCCAAAAGAAAACCCUGAAUGAAUUUUGGCUAUAAAGUCAUAUUUAUACCUUAAUUCAUUAGAGUGGCAAACUUGUAAAUAAGUCCAAAACUCACUCCAUCUCUAAAUGGCCGACCUUAGGGUAUUAUUGGGCUAAUUGGGCCUUUGUGAAUCAUUAUUCAUUAAGUUGUCAUACAACUUAAUUCAAUGGGCUUGACGUUCAAAGCCCAUUGGGCCUUAAGGUCCAAAACUAUCCUGAGGUCUUUAACGAACUUAUUCGUUUGAUUAAUUAACAUAUUAAUUAAUCCUUGCCAUAAAUAAUUAAACCAUUUAAUUAUUCUUACUCAUCUCCAUUGUUUCUUCAAUCUCCACCUUACACGGUGUACGAUCCAUUAGGUUCCUUUUAGCGAGGCAGUGGACGAUUAAAACCAUUUCAAAUCGAUUGUGAAUUGAAACUUACUUUCAAUUCUCCCUUUAGUGAUUAUACACGUUUAGGGCUUCCACAAACCAUGAGUGACACCUACGUACUUGUCUUGAUCGUGUUCAGUGAACUCAUUCUCUAGUAAGCACCUACGUACUUGUCUUGGUGUCACACACACCAAUGACUCGAGACUAGUCACUUUCCUUGAGAAAAGACACAUCACGUACUAAUCUUAACGGACUGUCAAUGCCCAAUUGGCAAUCCUAUGAUCAGGAACGUUUAGGAUGUGUCUAUGAAAGAAUGGUCUCAUGAAUCUAACUUCUUUAGAUCGCAUUCUCCCAAUCACAUAUUCCUUGGACUUAUCGUUUAAGCGUAUAACAUUUAUAUGAGACGGCUUAAACAAUAAUCUUUGCCCUUGAUAUUAAACUAGAUUAGUUUAACAUGUGAAAUGCCCGUAAAGUAUCAUCAUAUGAUUGGUUUUAGGGCAUAUUUCCAACAGACUCAUCAUAAAUGGACAAGUCAUCAAUGACGUGCCACAAAUCAAGCAAAGGAAGCUCAAAGCAUUCCUAAAAUGCGGCAAAGGGGAAGAAAUCUCCUUAAAAUCGGCAAGGGGCCCAAAUUGCUCCUAAAAUCGGAAAGAAAGCUAAAGCAUCUUCACAAAACAAGUAAGGAUUGAAGAUUGCUCGCAAAAUAGGCAAGAAAGAGCCCUAUAGAUUUUGGCCAAGCAAGGGAAAGUGGCUGAAAUUAAGACGCAAAACAUGCCUAAAUUCUCCCAUGGACGAAUCAAGACACAAAUCAAAGCUAAAUCCAUCUAAAGGCAAACUUUGAGAAGUUUAUAAAUACAAGGUGCUUAGACAAGUAUAAAGGUCGACAAUUUAUACAUUAAAGGGCCGAAAUUCUCACAAAAAGAGGACCUCUGCCAAAUCUUUGAAGACUAAUACGCUGCCAAGGCUCUCUUCGAAGAACGUACAACUAAAGCAGAAGCUUUCUUUUGACCAAAGCCAAAGCAUUCCCUUGAAGAAUCAACAAGCACCUAUGCCGAUUUCUUCAAGACUUUGUUGCAAGCUUAAAACUUGUAACAAUGUUCGAUUCAAAAUCAAGUCUGAAUCAACAAAAUCCCACAUCAACAUCACCUUUGCCUCAACCCUAAACCUGAGGUGAAGACUAUCAAAGCGUUGUUUCAAGCCCAAAACUUGAAGCAAUCGUUUAAUCGGUCGUUACUUGAAGUAAUCGUUCAAUCGGUCGUCAGAGAUCAAGUCAUCGCGACCCUUGGAUCAACAACCUACGCAUCUACAUCAAAUUUAAAGACUGAAUCAGAGGAAAGUUGUAAAUAGAGAUUGUAAAUCAAUACAUCUACUUUGUACAAGUGUUCUUGUUUCAUUCGUUACAGAAUUUUUAUGUCUACAAAUUUGGCACGCUCGGUAGGACCUUUCUGCCUCUUAUCUUUGUCUUUAAAUCCACAAGAAAUAUACAUGGCAUCAAGAAAUGAUCAAGCUGUUCCGGCAAUCAACAUGAAGAACAAGAACAUCCUUGUCGCAAGUGGUGGAACUUUGGGCAUCACAACCCAUAGCAAGGUAAUAGCUCUCUUUGGUGUGCCUUCCACACCUAUAUCAACUCUGCCGAAUGAGUAAGAGCACCCGAGGCAUGAGCCCGUGAUCACCUUGGCCUCGCUAAGGGUGCCAAGGGAAGAAAGCCCAAUGAGGUACUCCGAGUCGGUGAGUUCUGAUGCUGACUCAAGUAGCAGCUCGUAUCCCGUAGCCAUGCAAGUCAUGACUACUGGUGCGACUUCAAUCGAAAAGCAGUAGGCAUAAAUGAGCAAAGCAAUUGCAAGGCUGACAAGGACCGUGGAGGAAAAGAACUUGCAGAUUGCUACACUCGUCAACCAUCUGGAGGCGCAGCACGAUGAGCAAGCUGACCCAAAGUUUGAUCCACCAAAGGAGAAAGUUGACAAAAAUAAGGAGCCUCUUAUGGACAAAGCUAAUGAGAAGCUAGAGGUGGACCGAGCUACGAUGCUCAUGGAUCUCUCUCUAUCCAACAUCUGCAAUAGAUGAUCACAAGCACCAUCAAGGCGCAGUAUGAAGGAAGCUCACAUGACUUCGUGCUAUAUUCAAAGCCUUACUCUAAAUAGAUUGCGUCUUAAGGAUGUCAAGGGGUUAUCAGCUCUUGAAGAAAUUCAACAUCAGAAUUGCUUCAAGGGGGUUUCUUCUAUGAACUUUAGUUUCACUCAUGUUGUUCUUGAUAUUUAUAUAUUAUGUAAUCAUGUUAUGUAAUUAAGUUCAUAAUUGGGGAUUUUGAUGUAGCCUUGCAAAACUACUUUAUGUUAUUAAGUUAAAGUAUUCAAACUACCAAUCUGUGUUCUUGUUCCAUUUACUGAUUUUAAGUAUAAUUUGUUUUGUUAAUCUUAAUGUUUGAUCACCAUAAGGGUUUCUUAUAGAUUAUUUGAUCAAGGUUAUAUUACACAUCAUGCUUAAUCUUGGUGGACAUGUGAAUGAAUAAAGAAAUUGUUAUGCAUACAUCCUGCUAUGUGAUUUCUUUGGUUCUUUGAAGUUCUCUUGUUCUUAAUGGAUUCUUAUUUGGUAACCUAAGUUGAACAUCACAACUAGGUUGCAGAUUAAGAGUACUUGAUCACAACCACACAUCAAACGGAUGAUCAUAAAUGAGUAAAACGAACGUUAGUUGUAGAUUGGAGACUUGAAUGCGUUUGGACUUAAUUUUCAUGGAAUUGGCUUGUAAUGGUGAAAUUGGUAUCCCUAGUUCCAUUCCCAUCGGUUUUGAAUUAAUCUAUCAUUGAUCUUUAUAUUGUCUUGCAUUUUAAAUUACUUUAGCUUUCAAAACUAAAAUCUAAAUUCAGUUUUCAUUUUCAUUGCUUAGUUAGGGUUCACAUAAAGCAAGUAAUUUGUAGAGUUCUAAUCAGUCCCUGUGGUUCGACACCCUUGAAGGAAAUUUUUAGGAAAAACCUGUUCAUUUGAGCAACAUCUAUGGCAUGCAAUUAACAUUUAAAGGCAGAAUCAUGCUUAUAUGCACUCAAAAACAAAACAUUACCCAUGAAAUUCAAAAGCCUAGUAGAAAGGUGAACCAAGACUCAACUCAAAACAAAGUAAGUUGAGAAACUUUAUACCUUUGAAGAUUCCUCUUUGCAUAAGCAAAGGCUAAUCACCCAAGGAGAGGGCCUUCAUUCCUUGCUUCUUAGUUCCAUUGAUUCUUGGAGGAGGAUGGUAGAUAGGAAUCUCCAAGUUCUCAAAAUAGAGAACCUCUAAUUUUCCACACCAAGGAGAGACUUGAAGAGGAGAUGAGUGACCUUGGAGGAUGAGAGAUUGCUAGCUAAUCUCCUCCAAGGGGGCCGGCCUCUUUGAGAGAAAGGGAGAGACAUUUUCUCUCCAAUUUUCUCCAAAAGAAACCCUAAGAAUGAAAUGGCACCUCACAAUGGAGUGGCAAACUUGCAAUUAAAGCAAGUUCACUACCCUCCUCUAUUUGGUCGGCCUUAAGGGUUUAUUGGGCUUUCAAGCCCUUUGUUUAUUCAAGUUGUCAUACAACUUGAGUUAAUGGGCUUGACAUUCAAAUCCCAUUGAGCCUUGUGGCCCAAAACUAACCCGAAGUCUUUAACGAACUUUAUUCGUUUGAUUAAUUAACAUAUUAAUUAAUCCUUGCCAUAAAUAAUUAAACCAUUUAAUUAUCCUUACUCAUCUCCGUUAUUUCUUCAAUCUCUACCUUACACAGUGUACGAUCCAUUAGGUUCCUUUUAGCGAGGCAGUGGGCGAUUAGAACUCUUUCAAAUCGAUUGUGAAUUGAAAGUUUAGUGAUUAUACACGUUUAGGGCUUCCACAAACCAUGAGUGACACCUAGCAGUAUGUCAUGGUAACCUAAGCUAAUCAGAAGAGGUGGAGAACCUAUUCAGUUUAGGAUUACAAUGCAAUACGGUAUUUCUCUAAUAAAAUACUCUUGACCACAUUGUUUGGUUUGAUAGUUUAUUCAUGUCUUCUAUCCAAUGUAAUUAUCUUACUUAUAUGAUUACCUUGAAUGUGAUUUGGAACGACUUCCUAAAUCUCAUUCAUACUCUGGCCAGAGAUUCUUAAUCAUAUCAUAGAGUAUUCUCCCUCAAACGGUUUGAAGGUUAGAGAUCCCUUGUUGCGCAUUUACUUGCCUCCAUGGCUAAGUGGCUUAACCCCAACUAUGUUGUGGACACCCUCUGAUGGAGUGACUUUGACAUAGUCAAAGAUCAAGGACCUAACCACAAGACAACUAUGAUGCCUCAGGUCAAAGGACUACUUUGCAUUAUCCCAACCAUGAGUUCUCAUGUGACAUGAGUAUGAGAACUCAUCAUUGAUCGUGUUCAGUGGACUCAUUCUCUAUUGAGCAUCUACAUGCUUGUCUUGGUGUCAAUCAUACCAAUGACUCGAGACUAGUCACUCUCCCUAAGAGAAGACAUAGCACGUACUGAUCUUAACGGACUGUCAAUGCCCAAUUGGCAAUCUUAUGAUCAGGAACGUUUAGGAUAUGUAUACGAAAGAGAAUGGUCUCAUGAAUCUAACUUCUUUAAAUGACAUUCUCCUAAUUACAUAUUCCUUGGACUUAUCGUUUAAGCAUAUAACAUUAUAUGAGACGGCUUAAAACAAUAAUCUUUGCCCUUGAUAUUAAACUAGAUUAGUUUAACAUGUGAAAUGUCUGUAAAGUAUCAUCAUAUGAUUGGUUUUAGGGCACAUUUCCAACAACCCUUACUUGUGCCAUUAUACUAUCCUUAUAUUUCCGUUUGAAAGGAACACAACAAAAUUUUGGCUCCGUUGCCGGGGACUGAUUUCAGUCCCCUUUAAUUGCUUGCUUUAUAAACCCUUUCUAUUUUUAUUUUCUUAGUUUAGAUUUUUCAUUUACAAUUUAGUUUGUUUUGAUUUCAGGUGGUAUAAAAAGAUGUGUGGUGUAUGUCAAUUAUGUGCCAAGACUGGUCAUCCUUUUCAGUUAUGUCCAAAGAGAGAUGAAUUUCUUACAUUUGUCUGAGAGCAUUCACACCUCAUAAGUUUAUCCAACCAAAGGCCAAUACAUCCAUUAUCAAACACAAAUAGCCCUAUUUGGAGAAACCUUAAUAUUGACUCUUGGAACAACAUACAAGCUCCAAAUCAAACAUUUGCACCUCCCCCACAGCAGACCCCUUUGACACUUCGUUGGAGGACACUUUGGAGCUACUUACCAGGUUGGAAAUUCAAUUUGGGUAGAUUGUCCAAGCGUUAAAUGAACAACCAUGUGGUGAUGGUUAAGAUGUGAACGAUGAACAAUCAUUGGAAUCUAGCUGUGCCGAUAUACAUAGAGAAGUUCUUGAAUUUGAAGCUUUUUCCCAAUCUUCUAAUUCUCUAGAAUUUUUUUCGAAAGUUAUGUUGGAUUCUCCUUGUUGUUUUACAUCUUUACAGGUGCCAUCUUUGGAGUAUUUUGGAGAUGAUUUGCUUCCAUAUCAAAAGAAAAACAAAUUGAAGUUGGAUGAUGAAUCAUUACUGCCCAUUCACCAUAAGAAAGAAGAUUCGGAGCUAGACAAUGAGAUUGCUGCCUUGAAUGAAUUUCAUUCAUCCAUUGAAGCCACAUCUUCAACAGUUUUCGAGGAUAUGCUUAUUCGCAAUGAGAGACGAAAACACCAUCACAAUCAAGUCCUUGUGGAAAUUCAACGCACUAUAUUCAAAGUCCCUCGAAAGAAAUGACUUCUUCAGACCAAGGUUCGGAGGUACCUUGACUUCUUGCCACCCUAGGUGUUCAUCUAUCAUGGUACCAUGUCUUGCCUAGAUGUUGAGUGCAUAAAGUUAUAUUUAUAUGCCCUCUUUUACUUAGGUUUUUGACUUAAAAUCUCAAUGGAUCACAAGGUAUUUUAUUGUUUGUAUUGUAUUUCAGGAUGAAAGUAAGGGCUUGAAGAAAUCAUCUUAUUUUGAAUAUUGUAACAAGUGGCCCAAGAUUCGAUAAAAAAGGCCCUUGCUGAACAACCAACUUGCGAGCUUUGCCCCGAAGUGCUCAGAAAAACUUAGAAAAUGGGCCAUAUAUGGUUGGAAAGCCCUGGAAGUCUUCUUUCUGAUGCUCUUUACACCUUGUGAUUUGAAGGUUCCGACAAGAAAUUAUGAUAAGAUAAAGAGGAGCUAUUCAGUUACAAAUUCUGAUAACAGCUAGUUUUCAGUUACUCCAAUAAUAAAAGCUGGUUGUUAUGAGCUAUAAAUGACAGUCAAUUCAAGGAUGUAAAUGUGUCAGAUGUUAUAUAAGUCAAAUAGGAGACAAAUACUCAACAAAAAAACAUAGAAUCUGGAGAGAGAGCAGAAGUCUUCAACCAUGAGCAGUUUCUAGGUUCUAGCUUUCUUGACUUUUUAUGUAUUUUUUUUUUAUGGAUACUUAUGGCUGCUUUGAAGCCUUAUACAUGAUUGAAUUAAUGUUAUGAUGCAGCUUUAGUUUAUCAAUUUCAUUUGCAAGUUAGAAUCAGUUUUCUGUUUUAAUCAUUUGAAGCAUAUAUUUUCAAGCUUAGCUACCUUGUUUAUGUUUGCUUUCUGUUGAGAAUGAUAAGGAUGACUACCAUAUCUCCUUUCAUUCAUUAGCAACAUAUGGUUAGGUUUAGAACUAAUCAUGUAAAUUGAUUCCAUGAAGUUCUAGGAUAAAUGCCAUGUUCUAGGGUUCAUGUGAUGUUCAUAAUCCUCUUCGUUCUUAAUGAGUUUCUAGGUGCUAAAUUUGAGUAUAUGCCAUGCUAGGUUGUGCUGUGUUCCUUUCAAGUCCAAAUAUAAGGAUAGUCUAAUGGCACAAGUAAGGGUGUCGAACCACAGGGACUGAUUAGAACUUUACAAAUUACUAGCUUUAUGUGAAUCCUAACUAAGCAAUGAGAAAAUGAAAACAAACCCAACCUAGUGGGUACCUUUCAACUAGGCACCCCCUCACCUCCAGAUUAUCUUCAUGAUGAUUAUUAUGAAGAUUGUUGGGAUGAUGAUCCGAAUGUGGAGGAGGAUAUUGCAUUCGAACAAGUAGAAAAACAUGGGGAAAAGGGGGAAGGCGGAAAGAGGAAGUAGAAGUAGUGAGGCAAUGGGAGGGUCCUCCUUGGAAAAAGGGUAAUAGGAGAAAGGGUCCAAGUCCGGCGUGGAAUGAUGCUAAGAGGGUAACGAUCACCGAUAAUAAUGAGGAGAAUUCAUUCAUGGCCGAAUGUAAGCAUUGCAAACUCUUAGUACCAGCACACUUUAGAACUCACGGGAUGGUGGGAAUUCUUAAGCAUUUGAGGAAAUGCCUGAGUUCUAGUCUUUUUGAGAAUGUGGAUCCGAACCAACCUACAUUGACACAAGCGAGGAUAGGAGGUUCGAUUGUCACUCACACUUUCAAUAAAAGAAGACUUGAUAGGAGAUGUGUGAGGUGGAUUAUAAUAGCGGAGAUGCCUUUUAAAGUGGUUGAUCAAGAAGACUUUCGAGCUUUUAUUCGUGAUUUGAAUCCAAAGCACAAACUUCCUAAAAGGCAUAAGGUGGUGGCGGCGGUUUUGGAGUUGUAUUUUGAAGAGAUGGCAAAAAUAAAAAGUGUGACUGAGGGGUUGAGAGUGAGUAUUACAACCGAUACUUGGACCUCAAUUCAAAAGAUAAACUACAUGGUCAUCACAGCCCAUUUUUUGGACACUAAUUGGGGGUUACAUAAGAGGAUCCUAAACUUUGUCCAAGUUACUUCUUAAGGGUGAUGAUAUUGGAAGAUGUCUAGAGGUUUGCUUGAAUGAUUAGGGCAUAGACAAGUUGUUUAGCAUUACCGUUGACAAUGCUAGUGCAAAUGACACCGCUAUUGCAUACACGAAAAGAAAACUCCAGUCAAAUGGUACUUUUUACUUGACAGGGCUCACUUUCUCAUAAGGUGCGCUUGUCACAUCCUCAAUUUGAUAGUUAAGGAUGGAAUUGAAGGAAAUAUUUGUAAAAACAUGUUCAUUUAAGCAACAUCUAUAGCAUGCUAUUAACAAUUAAAAGGCGGAACCAUGCUUGCAUGCACUUAAAAACAAAACAUUAACCAUGAAAUUCAAAGCCUAGUAGAUUUGUGAACCAAGACUCAACUCAAAUCAAAGUGAGUUGAGAAAUUAUACCUUUGUAGAUUCCUCUUUGCAUAAGCAAAGGCUAGUCACCCAAAGAGAGGGCCUUCAUUCCUUGCAUCUUAGAUCUAUGGAUUUGGAUGGAUGAAAUAGGUUUCUCCAAGUUCCCAAAAUUGAGAACCUCUAAGUCUCCACACCAAGGAUGGAUUGAUGAAGAAAUGAGUGACCUAGAGGAAGCAAGAUUGCUAGUUAAUUUCCUCUAGGGUGGCCGGCCUCUUUAGAGAGAAAAGAGAGCUUUGUGUUCUCAUCCUUUCUCCAAAAGAAACCCUAAAUGAAUUUUGGCUAUAAAGUCAUAUUUAUACCUUAAUUUAUUGGAGUGGCAAACUUGUAAAUAAGUCCAAAACCCACUCCAUCUCUAAAUGGCCGGCCAUAGGGAUUCAUUGGACUAUUUGGGCCUUUUGUGAAUCAUUAUUCAUUAAGUUGUCAUACAACUUAAGUCAAUGGACUUGACGUUCGAAGCCCAUUGGGCCUUAAGGUCCAAAACUAUCCCGAGGUCUUUAACGAACUUAUUCGUUUGAUUAAUUAACAUAUUAAUUAAUCCUUGCCAUAAAUAAUUAAACCAUUUAAUUAUUCUUACUCAUCUCCGUUGUUUCUUCAAUCUUUACCUUACACGGUGUACGAUCCAUUAGGUUCCUUUUAGCGAGGCAGUGGGCGAUUAGAACUCUUUCAAACCGAUUGUGAAUUGAAACUUACUUUCAAUUCUCCCUUUAGUGAUUAUACACGUUUAGGGCUUCCACAAACCAUGAGUGACACCUAGCAGCAUAUCAUGGUUACCCAAGCUAAUCAGAAGAGGUGGAGAACCUAUUCAGUUUAGGAUUACAAAUGCAAUACGGUCUUUCUCUAAUACAAUACUCUUGACCACAUUGUUUGGUUUGAUAGUUUAUUCAUGUCUACUAUCCAAUGUGAUUCGUUUACUUAUAUGAUUACCUUGAAUGUGAUUUGGAACGCCUUCCUAAAUCUCAUUCAUACUCUUAUCAGAGAUUUUCAAUCAUAUCAUAGAGUAUUCUCCCCCAAACGGUUUGAAGGUUAGAGAUCCCUUGUUGCGCAUUCAAUUGCCUCCAUGGCUAAGUGGCUUAACCCCAACGAUGCCAUGGACACCCGCAGAUGGGGUGACUUUGACAUAAUCAAAGAUCAAGGACUUAACCACAAGACAACUGUGAUGCCUCAGGUCAAAUGACUACUUUGCAUUAUCCCAACCAUGAGUUCUCAUGUGACAUGAAUAUGAGAACUCUUCAUUGAUCGUGUUCAGUGAACUCAUUCUCUAUUGAGCACCUACGUACUUGUCUUGAUGUCACACACACCAAUGACUCGAGACUAGUCACUCUCCCUGAGAUAAGACAUAGCACGUACUGAUCUUAACGGACUGUCAAUGCCCAAUUGGCAAUCCUAUGAUCAGGAACGUUUAGGAUGUGUCUACGAAAGAAUGGUCUCAUGAAUCUAACUUCUUUAGAUUGCAUUCUCCCAAUCACAUAUUCCUUGGACUUAUCGUUUAAGCAUAUAACAUUUAUAUGAGACGGCUCAAACAAUAAUCUUUGCCGUUUAUAUUUAAACUACAUUAGUUUAACUUUGUGAAAUGUCCGUAAAGUAUCAUCAUAUGAUUGGUUUUAGGCAAGGAAGAAAAAAUCGAUAAUAUCGGCGAUAUUUCGCCGAUAUUAUCGUUUUUUUAGGGGUCCGAUAUUUUUUUAACUAUCCAAAUGAUUUUCGUCAAAAUAUCGCGAUAAUAUCGAUAAUAUCGCGAUAUUUUCGAAACUAUCGCGAUAUUUGGCACUGUAGUAACCGGAGAAGAACGCCGGAGCAAAUUAACCGAAUCCCUAAAUCCCCAAAUUCGAAUUCAAAAGCAAAUUAACUGAAUCCCUAAAUCCCCAAAUUCGAAUUCAAAGAAAAUUAACUGAAUCCCUAAUUCCUAAAUCCCUAAAUUCGAAUUCAGUACAAAAAUGAAAUUACAUGCAGAAAAUUCGAAUUCUGUACAAAAAUGAAAUUACAUGCCGAGAAGAAGAGAAGUAGGAGCCUGGGAACGUCGUCUUCCUCACAAAUCCAAGACGGCUGGGACAACGUCGUCCUCCUCACCGACGACUACGAUGAGUUUCGGUCCAUCGUCCGGUGUCCGCUGCCUCCGCUUCUCUCCGGAUCCCAAAACCCGCUCAGGUUUGAUGCAUUAUCCUAGAGGAAUCAGACAUGCAUGUUUCGCUCUACCAUGGAUGGGGUCUGAGAGGAAAAAGAGAGAGAGAGUAGAGAGAAAUGAAAGACUUCUUUCCGUCUCUAUUGAAAUGCGAGAGACUGGGGUUUACAAAGCUUUCAGAAAAGUAAGGUUGAUCUUAACCGUUCCUUUGGAAUCUUAAGGAGCUCCAUGCCGUGAUGCAUGCCACGUGUUCAAAGCUGGAGUAUUCCUAUGUCUGCUCAAUUUACUCGGUUUGAAUUAAAGAGGGGAGAGAGCCGUUUGGGCUCUGACAGAGACAGAAACAAAUCUGCACGCCACUUUUUUUUUUUUUUUUUUUUUUUUUUUUUUUUACGGGGAAUCCAAUGUUUAUUUCAAAAGGGCGUGCAGCAAGUGGCCCGUCACGUCCUGAUCUUUUCCAUACAUCCCAGGUGGUUUGAAGUCCUUUCUUUACAUUUUGUUUUCUAGUUUCUUUCAUUUUCUUUUCUUUUUAUAGUCUUGUCCAUUUUAUUUUUCUAGUGUCACAGUUUUUGUGUUGUGUUUUUUUUAUUUUUUUUAGUUUUCUUUUUAUUUUCCACACCUUGAGGACAAAGUGCGAAAUAAGUUUGGGGGUGGGAAAUAACAUUUUAGGUUUUUAAUUUUUGUGUCAGGAUAAAAUUUUCAUUCUUCUUAAGUUAAUAUCCAUAGAUUAUUUUAAACGUUAAAACAAAUGGACAUGGUAAAGAUUAAUCCCACAGUAGAGUCUUUUCUAUUUAUCGUUGCUUAGACACUAAUUCAUGAAUUAUACUUUAAAGUUUGCACAUCACACUAACAUGGUUUGUGGGGAGUGAGAUUGAAACACUCGCUUUUAGUCUAAGUUUAUUUUUAAAUUUUGUUUUAAGUAAAGUCAGUUAUUAUUGUGAAAAAGAGUAAUAAUUGUCUCACCCGAGGUUUUGCCUAGUAACCGGGCCAGUCCUGCCUAAUCAGCAGUGAUUCUCGCGUCAAACGGUAGAGUUUUGGCAUGGGGCAGGGUGGUUAGUUGGUUUCGUAGCCUUUUCAGCUCUGGUUAAUAAGUCCUUAGGGGUGUUCUACACCUAGUGCCCUAAAGCCCUAGUGGUUUGGGAGUCAUUGACCUAAAGCUCGCUACAUGGGUUGGAUCGAAAGUUUAAGUGAACCGACAUUGCACGACCACUACUGUUACUUUAUCUUCUUCUCCACGUGAAGACCAAAUUCUGUCAGAGAAGAACCAAAAAUGCAAUGUAUAAAGUGUAAAAUAUUGUACUAAUUUAUUAUAUAUAAAUGAUUAUGGUGUGUUUAGACUUCUUUCAUUAAUUACUACAUAUUUUCUACACUCACAAUGUUUGUCAGCUCGCUAUAUAAUCAACUUGAUAAUGUUAAAUCCAUCAUGCAAUGCAUUUCCUUCAAAUAUUUUGUGAUAAACUAAUAGAUAAUUGACUAAAUAAACAUCCUGCAAAGUUUCAAUAAAAAUUUCCAAGUUUUUUUUACAAUUUCCGUGGUUUCCAUGUAAUUUUUAUCGAUAUCGAUAUUAUCCCGAUAUUUCCAUCGAUAUUUCCGUGUUUUCGGACUACCGAUAUUUCCGAUAUUACCGAUAUUUUCUUCCUUGGUUUUAGGGCACAUUUCCAACAAUCUCCCACUUGCACUAGAGCCAAUCAGCUUGGUCAUCAGUGAUGAUACCUCUUCUGUAGUCAUUUCAUAAAUGGCUGAGUAGUAGGCCUAGACAAUGGAUAUCUAUAUGUUAUCCAUAGAAGCAACCUUGAGAAUAACGACGUCACCAUUAUACAUGAUUCUCAAUCAUGUGGUUCAGUCUCUCAUAUGAGUUCGAAUCUUGAUGAGACCUUGAUUCCCUGGCUUGAGCUAUCGCCCCAUUAGUGUCAUAGUGUCGAUACACUAGAUACACUUUCUGGUUGGAACCGAAUAGAGAGUUCAUAAAUGAACUUUCCCAUCCAAACAACAUUGUUGUAAGCUUCUAUAUGGCAAUAUAUUUUGCAUUCAUAAUGGAACACACUAAAGUCAUUACUUUAAUGUUUCCAUCCAAAUAUCUCUUUAGUCAUAAUAAAGAGAUAUCUGUUUAUCUCUUCAUUCAUAAUGAAGAAACAUCCAAUGAUGGAUUAGAUUCAUAAUCUAAUACAUUUACGCUUCCAUUACGUUACUCUAAUUCUUCCUCAAUUAUUGAGGAAUCUAUCCUUUAGUAUUUCUUAAAUACUUAAGGACUCACUUGACAGUUGCCAUGGUUCUGAUCCUGGGCUUGUACUGAUAUCGUCUUGUACCUUUCUAGGUACAACUCAUAUCAAUGUUUUUCAUACAAUAUGAAAUACAUAAAUCACCUUUCUGCUUACGCAUAAAGGAUUCUAUUUACGCAUUAUUUCUUUGGGAGUCAAAGAGUACGUUCUCUUUGAGAAGAGCAACUUCUUAGUCUCACUAGAGUUGUCCUUUUGAUUGAAGUUCAUCAUUAUAUGAGAAACUUCCUAUCAUCUUUUGUCUAUAUUUAGGGCUUGAUAUAAUCCAAUUAUAUCCUAAAAUCUAUCAAUAUAGAUUUCCAUCCCAUGUAUAUAGACUAUGUCUCCCAUAUACAUUCUAUCUUCAUAUAAUGUUUUAAAGUCAUAACUUUAACGAAGAAGUAUUCUUUUCAUUUCCAAAAUUAAUAUAUCAUAUAUAUGUUAAAUUUUAGGAAUAUGAUUAACUCCCACUAAUCUUUUGUAAACCUAGUAAACAAAAGAUUCAUUUACAUCUUUAUGAGAAAUCAAACGAUUUGAUCCUUUUCUCAUAAAAUGCUUAUAGCUCCCACUAGCUUGCUAAGAUUCAUGAUGGAUAGAUCUCUACAACUUACAUGUCUUGUGAUUUAUAGUUUUAGACAUAUAUUAUCAAGACUAUCUUAAUAAUGGUUUCGAAAACUCAUAUUAUGUCCAAACAUUGAAUCACCAUUUAGUUGUAGCUAGCAAUCUUCGAAUUAAUUGAAACCAAGACUAUCUCAAAAAUGGUUUCUUCAAAGUCACCCAUUCUCUUUGAUUGUAGUCACCUUAAGCUACCAAUUAGCUUAUGAAGGUUUCAUUAUUUCGGGUCAAAUGGUACUUUACCAUUUCCUUGAGUAUAUAUCAUAUAUACACUCAAUGUAGUCAUAAGGAUUUUCAUUCUUAUUUCUUUCGAAUUAAGAUGUGCAACUCUAUGACAUAGUCAUAAAGUUCAAACCAUUCAACUGAGACGGUUUAUAAAUCCUUCUCGACUACCUUGGAGCUUUGGUAUAGGAACUAGGUUGUUAUAUUUGUUGAUUAUAAUCUUGUCUCUCAAAGAACCCAUUCUUUGAGUUCUAUCUUUCAUUCAUUUGCUCUUAGGCAAAUCAUAUUGUAAGACUACAAUGAACUACCCAACAAAACAACAUUUGUUAGUUGGUUUAUAGAAGCGAUAUCCAAAAGUUAAUUUAAGGAUAUCCCACAAGAUUGUUAUCAAACAAAUAUUGCUUAUUAGCACACAACCCCAAAUCUUAACAUGCUUGAGAUUUGUCUUUCUUUCCAACUACAUCUUAUGGAGUUAUGAAAAUUUUGGAAGAUCUUCUAAUUGACAAUCAUAUUGUCUUAGAAGUAUAUAUCCUAUAUAUGGGUAAUUGAUAAUAUCCAAUGAACUAAAUCUUAUUCAAGUUCGUUCUUCUCCUUAUGGAGAAAUCCAUUAUCAUAUGAUGCUUCUUUCCUUGAUAUCUUUCAAGAAAACUAUUCUAAAGUGUUACCAUUCCUUGGAUCAAAUCUAAGGAUGUAAAUACUUUAGACGUCUUACUCAUCAACUUAAAUUUCUUGAAUUCUUUGAAACCUUUUGCAAAGUAUUCGGACUUGUGUUUAUUUAAAAUAAACUAUAGUCCAACCGAGGGUGAUCUUCGGUGAAUGUCAUACAACAUGAGUAGUAUUAUGUUGUGGACAUGUGCCACUAACAUCUAAGUGAAUUAACCUCAACAACUUUGUGAUUCUUUAUUCUUUCCAAAAGAAUAAAGAUUCAAACAUUUUGUCUCUAUACAAUUUUAACAAGAAGGUAUUGGAUCUGGAUCUAACGAUCCAAAGCAUCCAUCUAUGACCAACUCGUAAUUUAUGUUUUAGAGGUAUCACAACUCAGUUGGGAUUAGUCACUACCUGGCAACCUUUUGGGUUUUAAGCAUCAUUAUGUUCUAAACAGUUAACACUACCAUAUCAUCUCUACUAUAGAGACAAUUAAUUAGAUUACAAUAAUCCAAUCAUUAAUUAAUAAAGAACAAUGUUUUGUCAAUCAAAACAUUCAUCCAUCUCUACUAUAGUGACGGAAUUAAGUUCCUUAAAAUUGGAAUGUAAAGACAAUCUUUGGUUUUUCCAAUUUCUUUGGUAGUUCAUAUGAGGAAGUAAGUACUAUCUGCUUUCGCAGAGAUCCAUAUUAUUCACGUUCCGAAUGUGAAGCACCUUUUUCUUUUCUCAUAUAUCUUCUACUUCUUAUUAGUCACACUUUUACAACGAUUGUAAAACAUAGUUACUAAUACGGAAUCAAGCAUUCAAGUAGAAGAACCAACUAUUUUGAACUAUUCAAGAACAAUUUACAACACCUUCGAAAGGUGUGUUCUUGACACUUGCAAGACUUUUCUUUCAAAUACCCCUUCCAAUGUCCAUCCUUUCAUAAAGAAAGUUUGUUCCCUUGGAGUUAAUUUUAUCUUCUUCAUUUGACUUCUCCUUUGACUACAAUGGUCAUGGUCCCUAAACUCCCACUAUCUCUCUUGAAACUUAUUUCAAUUGUGUUAUACACAUCAAACGAUUUGGAGAGUGUGUGGUUAUUGUUCACUAUAUAGUUUACAAUAAACUUAGUGAACCAUUAGGAUAGGGACACUAAAGUGAAGUCCUUGCCUAGUUUCCGUCUCGUUAAGUGGUUUAUCACUUCAACACUCAAUGAUUCAAAAUCAUCAUAAGUCCAUGUUGAUGGACUAUUUUUGUCAACCAACCAUUAUGUUCUAAACAUAAUUACAAACUUUCAAGAGUUGUUCAAGGCAACUCUCAUUUCUUCAUACAACAAUUUGUAAGUGAAGAAUCAUGGCACAUAAAGUGUCCAUGCCAUUGUGCUUUCUUCUCAAGUUUCUUUGUUCAUUUAACAAAGAAAACAAGCACUAGUGUUUGCAUUGACUAAGGGUUGUUCAAAGCAACUCUUAUUUCUUCAUACAACAAUUUGUAAUUGAAGAAUUAUGACAUUAAAAGUGUUGUCCUCUUUAUGAUAGACUUUUUCUAACAUAUUCUUCUAAUGAUACAUUAUCAAUAGGAAGAUUGUGAGGAUAAGACUACUUAGGUACAUAUGCAAUCCUUUUAAGACAAUCUUUGGGCUUGUGGUACCAAGUCCGGAAACUAAAGCAUUCGGCUUUUCUUUGUCAAGUUUUGGAUAGCGUUUGCAAAUAUAUUGGUAAACAAAUACAUAACGAAUAUAAAUUGAUUGAUUUUUAAGCCAUUUGAUCCGGGUCUUUAAAUCAAAUAGCACCGCCCACUAUUUUUGGCAAAUUCCAUAUCCCUCAUUGGAAUUCGAGAGUUUUGGAGGAAACUCUUAGUAGGGUAUGGGAGACUCACUACUACCAAGCCCACCUCACAAUGAUAUGAUGUUGGCUAGCAUUAAUAAUAAUGAGAGAGUACGCUUACUCAUUCACAACAACCUCUUGUGAUUACCCAUCUUUUUGGCCUCUAGAAAACAAUGCCUCACAAUGAUACGAUGUUGGCACCAUUUCUCUUAGUUAAGUUCUUUCCCACUAUGCCAGUUUAGAUAGGGGUUCAAGUAUGACCUCACGAUGAUACGAUGUUGGCCACACUCGUUGCCUACCUUAACCUCAUCAAAUGUUUUAAAUAAACUCCUCUUGAGUAUAAGCAUGCACUUUGCACUCCCCCAUGAUAGGGUGAAGGCGGUGUACAAGUCAUAAACGAUUGGAGUCUACCACGGUGGAAGGCCACGAAAGAGUGUUCAAAGCACUCUCACGCUUAUCAACUUAAUAAUGGUUUGGUUGAGGGUUUUAGGUCUCAUCACAUAUAAAUAUUCAUUUUAAUCUAUAUUAAAACAAUUUUGGUCCUAUUACAACUAUUGGUCCAUUUGAUAGUUUUUAGUUGUAUAUAAUACUCUCACUAUGCUUAUAAAACGGUUUUUAAAGCAAGAGUAUAUGAUACUACUAACAUAAACUUUGCAUUCAUUUUAUGGACUAUAUAGUUGCCUUAGGGCCUUAGGAUGACUAUGAACCUUUGUUUAGAUUCAACACGAGCCUAGUGUUGAAUCUCAGUCUAGGGAUGGUGAUUGAUUUUAGUUACGCGUUUAAUCACAUUAAGGCGUGUUGUCUUAGGGGCGUUGGACCCAACUACUUCAUUUUCAUGCAUAUCAAAUAAAGCAAGAAAGAAGUACUUCAAAGUAAAGAUGAGCUUAUGCUCAUUACAACAUUUGCAUAAUUCAAAUUACUUUAAAGUAAAGAAGAGCUUAAGCUCUUUUACAACAUUUGAUCAAAUCAAAUUACAACCAAAAUCUAAUCUACACAUUCCCAUGGUUCAAACAAAUUUGAAACGGCCUUUCACAUAGCUCAAUUAUCGUAGGCUUAGGUUCAUAAUCACCCUUUAAUUAAUUAACACUUUAACUAAUUAAAUUUGAAUGCAACAUUUUCAUUUGGUUUUUGUAUCCAUAGAAUUGAUUUAAAUGGAGCUAAAUGAAAUGAAAAUCCAAUUCUCAUUUAAAGAGACAAAACCAUUUUGUUCUCAACCUAAUUUGGGCCAAAAUGCAAUUACCACAACUUUUGGGCUAUAUUGCAAAAACACAAACUUUUGGGGUCACUUUGUAAAAACACAAAAGUCCACUACUUCAUGUAAUUACAACUAGAACCCAAAAUUUUCAAUAAAUUCAAACUUCAUUAAAGGAGCAAAACAAUUUGUCCUUUAGCGUUUUUAGGCCUUAACGUCAAAACGUAAACUUUCGGGUCAAAAUACAAAUACACAAAAGUAUCAAAACUUUAUGUAAUUGCAUAAAAGCCCCAAAAAUACCCUAUUUUAAUAGGGUGGCCGGUUUUAGGGAGAAAAAGGAGUGGAGAUAAGUCCACAAAAAUUUGGAAAUUUUUCAACUAAGUCAUAAAGCCAUGCAAGUGGAAAUAAGUUGAUGUGAAUAAAGCCAUGCAAGUGGUGUGUGUGUGUAAGAGAAGUCCUUCUUACACACCCAUCACCAUUUCUAUCACCUUUCAAAAAUAAUAAAUGUUUUGAUGAUAGAUAAGUCACACCCACCAACACAAAACAAAGACUUUAUGAAAUAAAUCAAAACUUUGAAUCAAAACAUCAAACCUUUUUGUUCUUGGCAAGAACAUCAAGAACAAUGAAGAACAUCCAUGAAAACCCAUAAGAGCUCCAUGAAUGUUUUCAAGCAAUAAAACUCAAAUUUUCACCAUUCAAAAUGGGGCUAACAUCCUAGGGUACUUAGGGGUUCCAAAAGUCACUUUAAAACACUUUUAACAAGUCAAACAAGAACCCAAAGAAUCACCCUUUGGAUUUGGCCGAAAAUCCCCAAAAACUUGGCACCAAAUUUUAGCUCUAAUAUUCAUGCUCAUAUGAACUACAUCUACAACAUUUGAGAUGGCAAAUUUUCUAACAAAAUUUACAUUCAAAGAAACAAGAAUAAAGCUUGUAACAUAUUACAACUUUUAAAUCAAAACUAUGAAAUACAAAACCCAAAAGGACUCACCAACUACUAGACCUAGGCUCUUAUACCACUUGAAGGAAAUAUUUGUAAAAACAUGUUCAUUUAAGCAACAUCUAUAGCAUGCUAUUAACAAUUAAAAGGCGGAAUCAUGCUUGCAUGCACUUAAAAACAAAAUAUUAACCAUGAAAUUCAAAGCCUAGUAGAUUGGUGAACCAAGACUCAACUCAAAUCAAAGUGAGUUGAGAAAUUAUACCUUUGCAGAUUCCUCUUUGCAUAAGCAAAGGCUAAUCACCCAAAGAGAGGGCCUUCAUUCCUUGCAUCUUAGAUCUAUGGAUUUGGAUGGAUGAAAUAGGUUUCUCCAAGUUCCCAAAAUUGAGAACCUCUAAGUCUCCACACCAAGGAUGGAUUGAUGAAGAAAUGAGUGACCUAGAGGAAGCAAGAUUGCUAGUUAAUUUCUUCUAGGGUGGCCGGCCUCUUUAGAGAGAAAAGAGAGCUUUGUGUUCUCAUCCUUUCUCCAAAAGAAACCCUAAAUGAAUUUUGGCUAUAAAGUCAUAUUUAUA
RNAcentral lists this long non-coding RNA (19816 nucleotides) under Malus domestica (apple). RNAcentral's name for it is "long non-coding RNA (MDOM_LNC003053)". The record is from RNAcentral. Lineage: Eukaryota; Viridiplantae; Streptophyta; Magnoliopsida; Rosales; Rosaceae.